ACUUAAAUAAUUUAAAAAAAAUAUUGAUUUGUGGAGUCAAAAAUAUGAAGAAAUCAUUUUAGGUU
RNAcentral lists this transfer RNA (65 nucleotides) under Abrota ganga. Its description in RNAcentral is "tRNA-His". Lineage: Eukaryota; Metazoa; Arthropoda; Insecta; Lepidoptera; Nymphalidae. The record is from RNAcentral.